CAUAUCAAUAAGCGGAGGAAAAGAAAAUAACAAUGAUUUCCCUAGUAACGGCGAGUGAAGAGGAAAGAGCUCAAAGUUGGAACCUGUUUGGCCUAGCUAAACAGGAUUGUAAACUGUAGAAGUGUUUUCCAGGCAAUCCGAGUUAAUAAGUCCUUUGGAACAGGGCAUCAUAGAGGGUGAGAAUCCCGUCUUUGAUUCGAGAUAUUUUGUCUUUUGCGAUACACUUUCAAAGAGUCAGGUUGUUUGGGAAUGCAGCCUAAAUUGGGUGGUAAAUCUCACCUAAAGCUAAAUAUUGGCGAGAAACCGAUAGCGAACAAGUACCGUGAGGGAAAGAUGAAAAGAACUUUGAAAAGAGAGUUAAACAGUAUGUGAAAUUGUUAAAAGGGAACCGUUUGGAGCCAGACUGGCUUGUCUGUAAUCAAUCUAGGUUUCGUGCCUGGAUGCACUUGCAGACUAUUUGCCUGCCAACGACAAUUUUUUUUGAGUGUAAAAACUAUUGGAAAUGUGGCCAAUAUUUAUUUAUUGGUGUUAUAGUCCUUUAGAAAAUACCUUGAAUUGGAUUGAGGAACGCAGCGAAUGCUUCUCUUUUGAGGCAAAGUCUUUUAUUGGGAUUUACGGAUCAGACUGUGGCAUUGUCACAAGACUUGAAGUUUAAACCUAUUUUCGCUCAAUCUCUCAGAGG
RNAcentral lists this ribosomal RNA (682 nucleotides) under Rhizopus stolonifer. RNAcentral describes it as "partial large subunit ribosomal RNA". It matches the Rfam family "Eukaryotic large subunit ribosomal RNA", at positions 39 to 634 of the family's 3401-position model. Lineage: Eukaryota; Fungi; Mucoromycota; Mucoromycetes; Mucorales; Rhizopodaceae. The record is from RNAcentral.